Long non-coding RNA from Phyllostomus discolor (pale spear-nosed bat), 353 nucleotides. RefSeq lists it as uncharacterized. The transcript is spliced from 3 exons. NCBI's taxonomy places the organism in Eukaryota, Metazoa, Chordata, Mammalia, Chiroptera, Phyllostomidae. The record is from RefSeq and is a predicted model, not a curated record.
UGGAGUCCGCCCCACCAAGUGCUGGAAGUGAAGAUGCGAUCUACUGAUUUGCCGGUGCGGUGGUCGGCGAUGCCCAAGGCCGGGGGGGAAAGCCCAGAGGCAGAAAUUCGCUUACAGUGUUAACCGGAAGCGUCUUAACCGGAAAGCUUGACUGAAGGCAGCGCCACGGAUCGAGCGGUGUCACAUCCGACAUGCGUGAGACCACGGCAGACCUGUGCGGCAGAACCUGGCGGAGAUGAGGUUGGCUGUGGAUUCCAACAAGGCGUACCCCACUGUGAGAAAAAAGUGAAGGCCGUGGAGGUGGAUGCAGAGGAUGGGCCUCAGGAGCUCCUGCGGAAACCCCAUGCGCUAAA